Molecule: ribosomal RNA, 343 nt
Filed under: uncultured Glomeromycotina
Lineage: Eukaryota; Fungi; Glomeromycota
Description: eukaryotic LSU rRNA
Source: RNAcentral
AUCAGCCUUUUGGGUGUGAUUUUGUGGAGCGUGAGGAGUUAAACGCCUUCAUUGCCUGCAUAUUCGUGCACUUUGGGUGUACUUUGCCCGUAUGGUUGGUUAACAUCAAUUUUGGUGGUCAUAAAAUGACUGGAGGAAUGUAGCUUCGAUCUUGUAUUGAAGUGUUAUAGCCUUCGGUAGAUGUGAUGAUCGAGAUUGAGGAUUGCAACGGAUACCCUUCGGGGCUACCUGUCUGAUCUCUGAUCGUUGCUCUGGUGCCGAAAGCUUGCUUACGGUUAUCAAAGUCGAUGGUCAAUAGGUUAGAACGGGUUAAAUUCGUUAAGGAUGUUGACGUAAUGGCUUU